UCGGUAAGGAACCUUACGUGUCCCCUUCUAAUUUGACGUCCUCUGUAUCUCUCUCCUCCGUCGGAGUUUGAUGCGAAAUCCCGUUUUCUCUCUUCUUCCACCGAUCUCUCCAUCUUCUCUGGCGAUUCUCUGUGAUUCUUCGAUCUCUCCAUCACCUCUGUCGAUUCUUCUAUCUCUCCAUCUUCUCUGUUGAUUCUCUGUCAAUUCUUAUGUCGAUCUCCAUCUCUGAUGAAUCUCAACGACGACAAGGUUGAGAGGUUCGAUAUUCCUCCAUGACAGAAUUUGGCUGUUAAGAUGCUUGAUACAACUGGUCAUCAAGGAGACAAAGAGUUUCUCGUGGAAGUCCUAAUGCUCUCCCUCUUGCGCCACGAACACCUCGUGACUUUGUUUGGUUACUGCGCUGAAGGAGACCAAAGACUCCUCGUCUAUGAGUACAUGCCUUUUGAAUCCGUAGAAGAUCAUAUCCACGGUUACGGAUCUGAAGAAGAGGUUUUAGAUUUGAGCACAAGGAUGUAGAUAGCUUUAGGAUCAGCCAAAGGGCUAGCGUAUCUUCACAACGUAGCACAACCUCCUGUGAUCUACAGAGACUUGAAAACCGCAAACAUAUUGCUAGACCAUGGCUACAAACCAAAGGGCUUGCUAAGUUUGGUCUGAGCGGUGACAUGUCUCAUGUCUCUACUAGAGUCAUGGGAAGUCAUGACUCGCAUGGUUACCACAAUGGCGGAUGAAGAAGACGAGUCUCAGAGCAUUGAGCCCACGGGUAACAAUGAUUUUGUAGUAAGUAGUAUCUAGAGAGAACAACAAUAUGAUAUCUAAUAAGUGAAAGUAAUCAUGAAAACCUUAUGCUA
This is an RNA transcript of Brassica napus (rape), 848 nucleotides long. It is a transcript of the gene named serine/threonine-protein kinase CDG1-like, with no coding region annotated. The transcript has 3 exons. The record is from RefSeq and is a predicted model, not a curated record. Lineage: Eukaryota; Viridiplantae; Streptophyta; Magnoliopsida; Brassicales; Brassicaceae.